RNAcentral lists this transfer RNA (73 nucleotides) under Mesocricetus auratus (golden hamster). It matches the Rfam family "tRNA". Rfam says of the family: Transfer RNA (tRNA) molecules are approximately 80 nucleotides in length. Lineage: Eukaryota; Metazoa; Chordata; Mammalia; Rodentia; Cricetidae. The record is from Rfam by way of RNAcentral.
GGAGAAAUGGCUCAGUGGUUAAGAGCACUUGUUGCUGUUCUUAGAGGACCUGGGUUUGAUCCCAGUAUCCUCU